Non-coding RNA from Ictidomys tridecemlineatus (thirteen-lined ground squirrel), 680 nucleotides. The record is from RefSeq and is a predicted model, not a curated record. NCBI's taxonomy places the organism in Eukaryota, Metazoa, Chordata, Mammalia, Rodentia, Sciuridae.
UACACAAUUACUCAAUCCACCGUAAGGCUCUUUAAUAGGAAACAAGUGUGACAACGGCAAGCCUCUUUUUUUUUUUUUUCCUCCUCCCUCCUAAACCACAGAGUCAAAUAGCUCUAAUAGAGAUGAAGCUUGAUAGAUCCGCCCAGGUGUAGGUGAAAUGGUAGAGCCUCAGGGGUAAUAGAUGCUGUGCUCUCCUGCUGAAGUUUAGCACUUUGUCCUGACGGGCUCACUAGCAGCAGUGCGAUGGGCUGCUCCUUGUACAGUUACAAAGUCAACAUGCUUCUUGCUGCUCACGUUUAUGCCUAAUCCGGAGGGCAACCUGGAGCUAGGUAAGAACUGCAGAACAGCCCUUUGACUUCAGCACAUGGACAAAGGACAACAAAUGCAAGAAAUCAGAAAGAAACUGUCAUUUCCCAAGGCCAAGAGCUAAGGAAAGUGAAGGAGUUGAGAUUCUACGACUUCCUGGCAGAUGAGGCUGAAGACCGUUUGCUGCCACAAAGGAUGCACCCAGCCAUGCGAGGUUUGAACUGAUUCAGGCCUCCAGCAGAUCCUCCUCAGUGUGCAUCUCUAGAAUACAGUACGUCGUUCCUUGAUAAAGGAUAUUUUAACGCUUAAUCCAUGGGACAAGCUGUAAAGUAACAAAAAGAAGUACUUCUCAACAAAAGGCCCUUCAGCAGGUA